CCUACGGGAGGCUGCAGUGGGGAAUAUUGGACAAUGGGGGCAACCCUGAUCCAGCCAUGCCGCGUGUGUGAAGAAGGCCCUCGGGUUGUAAAGCACUUUCAGUGAGGAAGAACGCCUGGUGGUUAAUACCCAUCAGGAAAGACAUCACUCACAGAAGAAGCACCGGCUAACUCCGUGCCAGCAGCCGCGGUAAUACGGAGGGUGCGAGCGUUAAUCGGAAUUACUGGGCGUAAAGCGCGCGUAGGUGGCUUGAUAAGCCGGUUGGGAAAGCCCCGGGCUCAACCUGGGAACGGCAUCCGGAACUGUCAAGCUAGAGUGCAGGAGAGGAAGGUAGAAUUCCCGGUGUAGCGGUGAAAUGCGUAGAGAUCGGGAGGAAUACCAGUGGCGAAGGCGGCCUUCUGGACUGACACUGACACUGAGGUGCGAAAGCGUGGGUAGCAAACAGGAUUAGAUACCCCGGUAGUC
This 465-nucleotide ribosomal RNA is filed under the name Vreelandella stevensii. Its description in RNAcentral is "partial 16S ribosomal RNA". It matches the Rfam family "Bacterial small subunit ribosomal RNA", at positions 338 to 795 of the family's 1533-position model. Lineage: Bacteria; Pseudomonadati; Pseudomonadota; Gammaproteobacteria; Oceanospirillales; Halomonadaceae. The record is from RNAcentral.